RNAcentral lists this ribosomal RNA (253 nucleotides) under uncultured bacterium. RNAcentral describes it as "partial 16S ribosomal RNA". It matches the Rfam family "Bacterial small subunit ribosomal RNA", at positions 524 to 776 of the family's 1533-position model. The record is from RNAcentral.
UACGAGGGGGGCGAGCGUUGUUCGGAAUUAUUGGGCGUAAAGGGUGCGUAGGCGGUUUUGUAAGUCUUAUGUGAAAUCUAUGGGCUCAACUCAUAGACUGCAUGAGAAACUGCAGGGCUUGAGUAUGGGAGAGGUGAGUGGAAUUCCUGGUGUAGCGGUGAAAUGCGUAGAUAUCAGGGGGAACACCUGUGGCGAAAGCGGCUCACUGGACCAUAACUGACGCUGAUGCACGAAAGCUAGGGGAGCAAACAGG